This 73-nucleotide transfer RNA is filed under the name Hemiphyllodactylus kyaiktiyoensis (Kyaiktiyo Mountain slender gecko). RNAcentral describes it as "tRNA-Asn". RNAcentral also lists the same sequence under 1 other name. Lineage: Eukaryota; Metazoa; Chordata; Lepidosauria; Squamata; Gekkonidae. The record is from RNAcentral.
UGAGUUAAAGUCCGCUGGAUUGGGUGUUUAGUUGUUAAUUAAAAUUUUACGGGAUCGAGGCCCGUUAGCUCAG